This 272-nucleotide ribosomal RNA is filed under the name uncultured bacterium. RNAcentral describes it as "partial small subunit ribosomal RNA". It matches the Rfam family "Bacterial small subunit ribosomal RNA", at positions 26 to 285 of the family's 1533-position model. The record is from RNAcentral.
AGAAUCAACGCUGGCGGCGUGCCUAACACAUGCAAGUCGAACGCGAAAGGGGAGCAAUCCCUGAUUAGAGUGGCAAACGGGUGAGUAACACGUGGGUGACCUGCCUUCGAGUGGGGGAUAACCUUCCGAAAGGAGGGCUAAUACCGCAUGACAUACCGUGUUUGGAUACACGGAGAUCAAAGCUGGGGAUCGCAAGACCUAGCGCUUGAAGAGGGGCCCGCGCCUGAUUAGCUAGUUGGUGAGGUAAUGGCUCACCAAGGCGACGAUCAGUA